RNAcentral lists this ribosomal RNA (500 nucleotides) under uncultured bacterium. RNAcentral's name for it is "partial 16S ribosomal RNA". It matches the Rfam family "Bacterial small subunit ribosomal RNA", at positions 30 to 523 of the family's 1533-position model. The record is from RNAcentral.
AUUGAACGCUGGCGGCAGGCCUAGCACAUGCAAGUCGAGCGGAUGACGGGAGCUUGCUCCUUGAUUCAGCGGCGGACGGGUGAGUAAUGCCUAGGAAUCUGCCUGGUAGUGGGGGACUACGUUUCGAAAGGAACGCUAAUACCGCAUACGUCCUACGGGAGAAAGCAGGGGACCUUCGGGCCUUGCGCUAUCAGAUGAGCCUAGGUCGGAUUAGCUAGUUGGUGGGGUAAUGGCUCACCAAGGCGCCGAUCCGUAACUGGUCUGAGAGGAUGAUCAGGCACACUGGAACUGAGACACGGACCAGACUCCUACGGGAGGCAGCAGUGGGGAAUAUUGGACAAUGGGCGAAAGCCUGAUCCAGCCAUGCCGCGUGUGUGAAGAAGGUCUUCGGAUUGUAAAGCACUUUAAGUUGGGAGGAAGGGCAGUAAGUUAAUACCUUGCUGUUUUGACGUUACCGACAGAAUAAGCACCGGCUAACUCUGUGCCAGCCGCCGCAGUAA